AACCCGCCUAGCUCGACGGAGCGAAAAGCCGGCCACCUACCGGCCUGGCGGGAAUCUCACUAGGCUUGGCG
Non-coding RNA from Pseudoxanthomonas indica, 71 nucleotides. The record is from Rfam. Lineage: Bacteria; Pseudomonadati; Pseudomonadota; Gammaproteobacteria; Lysobacterales; Lysobacteraceae.